Hypomesus transpacificus is the source of this 287-nucleotide non-coding RNA. NCBI's taxonomy places the organism in Eukaryota, Metazoa, Chordata, Actinopteri, Osmeriformes, Osmeridae. The record is from RefSeq and is a predicted model, not a curated record.
AUUGCCAUCUUGUGAUGUAGCUCCAAACAAAGAAAGUUGUUGGCAGCUAAACAAGGUAGCAUAAAGUAAAGUCAAAGAAGCUAAGGCGUGACUUCUGGAGUCUCAGGAGUUUCACGUGCGAUGUUCCUAGUACAUUUCUCCUUAGGAAUCCCUGCUUUCCACGGUGGUGACGGUGCCGUUUAGUAACCGUCACCUUUCUUGAAGCAGGCAGAGAAAGCAUUGCGCGGGGGGCAGAAAUUGAUUGACAGGAAGAGAUGUACCUGACAAACAGUUCGGCCUCCACAUCG